Molecule: ribosomal RNA, 547 nt
Filed under: uncultured Glomeromycotina
Lineage: Eukaryota; Fungi; Glomeromycota
Description: SSU rRNA
Rfam family: Eukaryotic small subunit ribosomal RNA
Source: RNAcentral
UUGGAGGGCAAGUCUGGUGCCAGCAGCCGCGGUAAUUCCAGCUCCAAUAGCGUAUAUUAAAGUUGUUGCAGUUAAAAAGCUCGUAGUUGAAUUUCGGGAUUCUACCGUUGGUCGGGCUAACAAGUCUGUACUGGUGUGUAGAAUUUCUACCUUCUGGGGAACUAUCAUGUUAUUAAUUUAGCGUGGUGGGAAACCAGGACCUUUACCUUGAAAAAAUUAGAGUGUUCAAAGCAGGCUUACGUCUGAAUACAUUAGCAUGGAAUAAUAAAAUAGGACGGUGGUCCUGUUUUGUUGGUUUCUGAAUCACCGUAAUGAUUAAUAGGGAUAGUUGGGGGCAUUAGUAUUCAAUUGUCAGAGGUGAAAUUCUUGGAUUUAUUGAAGACUAACUUCUGCGAAAGCAUUUGCCAAGGAUGUUUUCAUUAAUCAAGAACGAAAGUUAGGGGAUCGAAGACGAUCAGAUACCGUCGUAGUCUUAWCCAUAAACUAUGCCGACUAGGGAUCGGACGAUGUUAAAUUUUAUUGACUCGUUCGGCGCCUUACGGGAAAC